AACAAUACAAGGCAGUUAAAAUGCUUUGUAAUUGGAAUGAUAGGAAUUUAAACCCUUUUUAAAGUAUCAAUUGGAGGGCAAGUCUGGUGCCAGCAGCCGCGGUAAUUCCAGCUCCAAUAGCGUAUAUUAAAAUUGUUGCAGUUAAAAAGCUCGUAGUUGAAGUUCUGCUGAAAGUAACCGGUCUGCUUUUAAUAAAAGUGGUAUCUUGGUAUGUAUUUAGCAAUGAUGUCCUUUGAAGUGUUUUUUACUUUAUUGUAAUAAAGCAUAUUCAGGACUUUUACUUUGAGAAAAUUARAGUGUUUCYAGCAGGCUAACGCUUUGAAUACUGCAGCAUGGAAUAAUAAGAUAGGAUUUUAGUUCUACAUUAUUGGUUUUAAGAGCUAAAUUAAUGAUUGAUAGGGACAGUUGGGGGCAUUUGUAUUUAACUGUCAGAGGUGAAAUUCUUAGAUUUGUUAAAGACAAACUACUGCGAAAGCAUUUGCCAAAGAUGUUUUCAUUAAUCAAGAACGAAAGUUAGGGGAUCGAAGACGAUCAGAUACCGUCGUAGUCUUAACUAUAAACUAUGCCGACUAGAGAUUGGAGGUCGUCUUUAUAAAC
RNAcentral lists this ribosomal RNA (597 nucleotides) under Hepatozoon canis. RNAcentral's name for it is "SSU rRNA". It matches the Rfam family "Eukaryotic small subunit ribosomal RNA", at positions 479 to 1086 of the family's 1831-position model. The record is from RNAcentral. Lineage: Eukaryota; Apicomplexa; Hepatozoidae.